This 225-nucleotide long non-coding RNA is filed under the name Nicotiana benthamiana. RNAcentral describes it as "long non-coding RNA (NBEN_LNC033168)". Lineage: Eukaryota; Viridiplantae; Streptophyta; Magnoliopsida; Solanales; Solanaceae. The record is from RNAcentral.
CGAGAUCAGGCUAUGAGGGAUAAGCAAUUUGAUAUUUUGGAGAGUCCAAAGGGGUCCCGAACGGGGGUGGAGGUUAGUUCAUGAUGGGUCACUCCAUCAAGAAAACAUAUCUAGUACUGCUGCCUCCUUGGGGUGCUCCAAUGAGACCCUAUUUCAAUUCUAAUCCAACGAGUUCAUAUUUCCCACCAGCACCCACCAUACCGAGAGGCUGUUUCAAGUGCGGGG